Molecule: long non-coding RNA, 424 nt
Organism: Temnothorax curvispinosus
Lineage: Eukaryota; Metazoa; Arthropoda; Insecta; Hymenoptera; Formicidae
Exons: 3
Source: RefSeq, a predicted model, not a curated record
AACCUAUUUUCAAUUUAUUUGUCAGAUUUGUCGUCCAGUUCAUAUACAGAGAGGCGGAAAAGCCGCCGGUGUCAUUCUCAUUGAUUCGCAUUAAUUCUUGUACUUCCGGCGCAACCUACUGAUAAAUAUUAUUGAUAAAUAUGAUUAAUAUUCCGGAAUCUUUGGCAUAGUAUUUUACUACGACGCAGUUUACGAAUAUUCCGAACCGAGAAUAUUACGAACAGAGAAACCUCAACGGAGUAAAGUGAAUAAUACCAUAGAGAAAACAGUAAACGAAGUAAAUAUAUGCAGAGAAGUCGCGGACGGCUUGCGUAUAUAUUUCGAUUUCGCAUAUUACCUCAUCUCCUGUUAUGUAGGACACUCGACGAGCUCCGGGUUUUCCCUAUCGAUGACGACGGUGAAUGUCUGCCAAGGAUAUGCGCCA